AUACAUCAGCCCGCAGAGGGGCAAAGAAAGGCACCACCACAGUCGUAUGAUGGAAGAGGCCAUGGGUUAACGUCCCCUGGAAGAGGCAGGCUGGGAUCGCACCUGGGUCUUCAUGAAGCAGGGAAGGAGGGACAAGGAUGGCUUUGUAAAAAGCAGCAGUCAGCUGAGGGUCCCGGUACGAUGGAGAGGUCAGGCAACCGCAGCUGCAGUGACAGAAAGCACAAAACCUCAAAUUCAGCCAGAAGUGCGGAAACCUAAAACAGGAAUCUUGAUGUUAAACAUGGGAGGUCCAGAACGUCUGGAUGAUGUGCAUGAUUUCUUACUUCGUCUUUUCCUGGACAGAGAUCUAAUGACGCUUCCAGCUCAAAAUAAAUUAGCACCAUUAAUUGCCAAACGCCGCACACCAAAAAUCCAGGAGCAGUACAGCAGGAUUGGAGGCGGAUCGCCAAUUAAGAAGUGGACGGCGGUGCAGGGAGAAGGCAUGGUGAAACUGCUGGACAGCAUGUCUCCUCACACCGCACCUCACAAAUACUACAUUGGCUUCCGGUAUGUCCAUCCUCUGACAGAAGAAGCAAUUGAAGAGAUGGAGAAAGAUGGCAUUGAAAGGGCUAUCGCUUUCACCCAGUACCCCCAGUACAGUUGUUCUACCACAGGAAGCAGUUUAAAUGCUAUUUAUCGCUACUACAAUAAAAAAGGGGAGAAGCCAAAGAUGAAGUGGAGUAUAAUUGACCGAUGGCCCACACAUCCCCUUCUUAUUCAGUGCUUCACCGAUCACAUACAGAAGGAAUUGAACCUGUUUCCACCCGACAAAAGGAAAGAUGUUGUCAUCCUCUUCUCGGCUCACUCGCUGCCCAUGUCUGUGGUGAACCGUGGUGAUCCAUAUCCUCAAGAAGUGGGAGCUACUGUCCAGAGAGUCAUGGAGAAGCUGAACUACUCCAACCCUUACAGGCUUGUGUGGCAGUCCAAGGUUGGACCAAUGCCUUGGCUUGGUCCACAGACAGAUGAGACCAUUAAAGGACUGUGCCAAAGAGGAAAGAAGAACAUGUUGUUGGUCCCAAUAGCAUUUACAAGUGACCACAUUGAAACACUUUAUGAACUGGAUAUUGAGUAUGCCCAAGUUUUAGCGAAUGAGUGUGGAGUUGAAAAUAUCAGAAGAGCAGAGUCUCUUAAUGGAAAUCCACUGUUCUCCAAGGCUCUGGCAGACUUGGUCUGUUCACAUAUCCAGUCGAAUGAAGUCUGCUCUAGGCAGUUAACUCUCUGCUGUCCGCUCUGUGUAAAUCCUGUCUGCAGGGAGACAAAAGCCUUCUUCACUAAUCAACAGCUGUGAUGGGUGUCUAGGAGAGCACCACUGGAUUAUGCAGGAAAAUUGCCCUGGUGAAGCAGAGCAAAGGAAAGAAACCGCUUGACCAAACUCUCCUCCGUUACAUACUUGCAGGCUGGUAGUCUCAGUGGUGUUAACCUCAUGUAACAGUGGGGAGAACUUGACUUUUUUUGUUUGUUUGUUUUAUUUUUUCUUACGUUUUCCUUGUUUGAGAAGAGUUUGUAGAAAGCAAGGAAAUAAGGGCGUUUAUCCUGUGAGAUGUGAAAAGAUCUCGUUUCAUCUGAUUCUGAUUGGACUUAGCAUGACCCCAUAAGUAUGCACUGAAAAACUUAAAAAACUUUUCUACAAAUUAGUUUCUAUUUCCUAUGCAGGGAUUUAUUUGUAUGCAGUUUUGUCAUGAGUGCAUUAAUUUCAGCUUUCCAAGUCAAGCAUACAAUUAUUUGUUUUGAUUAUGCUUAAGGUACAGUAUAACCACCAUAGUCAACAAUUGUCUCUUCUGAGAGUGAUUUUUUUCAGAUGGGUUUGAAGAUCAAGUGACUUCUAAUGCUUUUUAAAUAACGUGUAUAUUUUUUUUUUUAGAGCAUAAAGAUAAGGCUUUGUUUUGGUUUGUUUUUUUUCUCCUGCCAGAAACUUCUGGUGAAAGCUUAGCUGGGAUAGUAGAAUGCACAAGAUUUGUUUACAUUUUCUAGAAAAAACACUCUCGUUAUCUGCAGGAAAGCCUCAGCAUUUGAAGAACAUAAAAUGAAAGGAAUAAGCCUGCUUGGGUGAUGCUGAAGAACAUGCUCAAUUGAAACAGAUUGUAUGUUUCAAAUCCAGCAGCUGUCAGCAGCAUGUAUGGAAACAUGUUGGUGUAUCUUUUAAGCAAAAUGGCUUUUUAAAAUUACUAUUAAAAAGGGCUUUCCCUAUUUGGCUACAUAAAUUUAGGAAGUCAGGCUUGCUCUCCAGAAGGUUUAUAGAUCUGGUCUGUGCUAUCUACUGUGCCACAGUGCUGUGGUUUUUAUGGGAUACCUAUGGAGUUCCACGGGUACAAUUGAUCUAGCUUAAUUGAUGUUGUUAUUUAAAACUGAGAUGAUAAGUCAGGAAUAAUUUACACUGCAGAUGCCCGAGAGCAGGCAGCCCUGCGGGUUAACAGCUGGGUGCUUAUGCAUACUUUUUGACAAAAGCCGAAUUUUGUCUGUUAGAUUUCUGGCACUGAUGGUGGGCCAGGAGUAUGCGCUCAUAACCCAGCUAAACUUCUUGCUUGUCUUGGCAGGCGUUGGGGUGCAUCAGGACUGCUGAAUCCACUCCUAAGCAGCGGUGGUUUUGUAGAGUGAAAAACCUUUUUAGGGCAGUAUUCCCUCACUGUCAGCACUGCGACCGGUGUCCAGGUCCCUUCAAAAGAUGCCCAAGGCAGCUGUGCACAGGAACGCUUUCCAUAUUCCAUGUUUCUUCAGGAAAAUGCCCCACAUUUGGCACAGAGGCAGUGUGUUGUGCAAAUGCCCUGCUCCAGGCUAGUUCCCUCCCAGUGUGCCCAGCACAGGUGCCUCCUUACCUGCUAACUGGUGGAAGCUGAAAAGCUUGUCUGCAGAACAUUGAGGUCUGUCAGCAGAUUAUUGGAAACUGAGGGGGAUCUUGAUGCGAGCCUCCUUAGCAGUACGGAGAUCUUCUCUGAUGGAUGAAGUCGGCAUUAAUCCACCGCGUCUCGCCUGGGAGAUGCUUUGCUGACAGUGUGGUGCGAGCAUCGCCCCUGCCCAGGGACAAAUGGGCACCAACAGUGGGAACCAGGAGCAGACGGCAGGAAGGUGAUGCGAAUUGUACGCUCUGGAAAGACCUUCAGUGCUUAACAGAAAUCCAUGAUGCCACCUGACACGAGAGCAAUGCUGCAGUCAGCCCAGUUCAGCUCCAGGAUGUACCGUGUGCU
Molecule: RNA transcript, 3221 nt
Organism: Haliaeetus leucocephalus (bald eagle)
Lineage: Eukaryota; Metazoa; Chordata; Aves; Accipitriformes; Accipitridae
Gene: FECH
Gene name: ferrochelatase
Exons: 12
Source: RefSeq, a predicted model, not a curated record